GACGAACGCUGGCGGCGUGCCUAAUACAUGCAAGUAGAACGCUGAAGGAGGAGCUUGCUUCUCUGGAUGAGUUGCGAACGGGUGAGUAACGCGUAGGUAACCUGCCUGGUAGCGGGGGAUAACUAUUGGAAACGAUAGCUAAUACCGCAUAAUAGUAGAUGUUGCAUGACAUUUGCUUAAAAGGUGCAAUUGCAUCACUACCAGAUGGACCUGCGUUGUAUUAGCUAGUUGGUGGGGUAACGGCUCACCAAGGCGACGAUACAUAGCCGACCUGAGAGGGUGAUCGGCCACACUGGGACGGAGACACGGCCCAGACUCCUACGGGAGGCAGCAGUAGGGAAUCUUCGGAAAUGGACGGAAGGCUGACCGAGCAACGCCGCGUGAGUGAAGAAGGUUGUCGGAUCGUAAAGCUCUGUUGUAAGAGAAGAACGAGUGUGAGAGUGGAAAGUUCACAAUGUGACGGUAGCUUACCAGAAAGGGACGGCUAACUACGUG
RNAcentral lists this ribosomal RNA (495 nucleotides) under uncultured bacterium. Its description in RNAcentral is "partial 16S ribosomal RNA". It matches the Rfam family "Bacterial small subunit ribosomal RNA", at positions 28 to 507 of the family's 1533-position model. The record is from RNAcentral.